AUGGACAGCAACCAAAGAAUUCUAUGUCGUUGGUUGUUUGAACAGGGCGACGGCAAAAACCGUGGACUACGAACCAACAACGAGCAUUGGACGCCCGAAGAGGUGACUGCACUAGUGGAUGGUGUUGAAGAUCUUGGUGUUGGAAGAUGGUCUGCUCUGAAGAAGAAAUGGUUUUCGACCUCAGUCCGAACUGCGGUGAAUCUUAAGGAUAAAUGGAGAAAUUUGCUGAGAUCAUACACGGGAAAUGCAGAAAGAGGAUGCUAUCUGCAACUAGAUCAUAGCUUGAUCCAACGGAUCCAGAAGAUCAUCUGUGGAAUUAUGCAAGAUGCUCGUGCAUCUACACCAUUGUUUCAUGAAUAG
Molecule: ribosomal RNA, 360 nt
Filed under: Triticum aestivum (bread wheat)
Lineage: Eukaryota; Viridiplantae; Streptophyta; Magnoliopsida; Poales; Poaceae
Description: partial small subunit ribosomal RNA
Source: RNAcentral